Molecule: ribosomal RNA, 297 nt
Filed under: uncultured Pseudomonas sp.
Lineage: Bacteria; Pseudomonadati; Pseudomonadota; Gammaproteobacteria; Pseudomonadales; Pseudomonadaceae
Description: partial 16S ribosomal RNA
Rfam family: Bacterial small subunit ribosomal RNA
Source: RNAcentral
GUAACGAGCGCAACCCUUGUCCUUAGUUACCAGCACGUUAUGUGGGCACUCUAAGGAGAACCUGCCGGUGGACAAACCGGAGGAAGGUGGGGAUGACGUCAAGUCCAUCAUGGCCCUUACGGCCUGGGCUACACACGUGCUACAAUGGUCGGUACAAAGGGUUGCCAAGCCGCGAGGUGGAGCUAAUCCCAUAAAACCGAUCGUAGUCCGGAUCGCAGUCUGCAACUCGACUGCGUGAAGUCGGAAUCGCUAGUAAUCGUGAAUCAGAAUGUCACGGUGAAUACGUUCCCGGGCCUU